CUACCUGAUUUGAUGGGUAAAGUUAGUUCACUGUAUAUUUAAUUAUGGAAAUUUAAGUAACCCCAGUUAAAAAUUUUAAUAAAUUAUUGAAACAUAAAUUUAGGUUACAGUGUAUUUUAUGGUAUUUUAGGUGCCAGCAACCGCGGUCAAACCUAAGUAAAAAUUAACUUAAAAUCUUAUUUUACAACUGUUCUUUUUACUUACUAAUAGUAGUGAAAUACAUUAGCAAAGUAUCACCAAAAGGAAAGUUUUUAUUUUAUUUUAACCUGGAAGAGAAACUAGGAUUAGAUACCCUAUUAUCCUAUGGUAAAGAAAAAAUAAGGAGGAGUAAAACAUCUUAAUGUUGAAACUUAAAAAUCAUGGCGGCUUUUAAAACCUAUUAGGGGAACUUACCUAGUAAUUGAUAACCACCAAGCUAUAUCAACAUAAUUUUAAAGUUUGUAUGCCGUCGUGUAAAAUCUUUUUUAGAAAGAUUUUUAAUUAAUAAUUUUGUUAAUAACCACAGAUCAAGGUGCAGCCUAUAAUUAUGUUUAGGCGAGUUACAAUACCUUUUUAGUUCGGAAUAAAAAUUUAAAAAUUUUUAUAAAGAUGGACUUAUAAGUAAAAUAAAAAUAGUUUAUAAAAUUUGAAUAAUAUUUUUAAUAGUGCACAAAUCGCCCGUCACUCUCGUUAAAAAAUGAGACAAGUCGUAACAUAGUAGAGGUAGCGGAAGCUGUCUCUAGCUAAAAUAAAGCUAA
RNAcentral lists this ribosomal RNA (737 nucleotides) under Gastrocopta cristata. RNAcentral's name for it is "12S ribosomal RNA". Lineage: Eukaryota; Metazoa; Mollusca; Gastropoda; Stylommatophora; Pupillidae. The record is from RNAcentral.